Molecule: ribosomal RNA, 200 nt
Filed under: uncultured bacterium
Lineage: Bacteria
Description: partial 16S ribosomal RNA
Rfam family: Bacterial small subunit ribosomal RNA
Source: RNAcentral
AGAGUUUGAUCAUGGCUCAGAUUGAACGCUGGCGGCAUGCUUUACACAUGCAAGUCGAACGGCAGCACGGGGGCAACCCUGGUGGCGAGUGGCGAACGGGUGAGUAAUACAUCGGAACGUGCCCAGUUGUGGGGGACAACCAGUCGAAAGAUUGGCUAAUACCGCAUACGACCUACGGGUGAAAGCGGGGGAUCGCAAGA